UACCCUCGAAUCCCGACCCUCUCGGGAUUCGGACCUUGGGAGCUUGCGGGCGUCCGUGGGACGUCGGCUCUCCUCGAAAGCAUCAGCGAGGGGGAAGGCACGAGCCUGGCGGCCUCUUUCGACGUCGUAAGGAUCGUCGGAGGUGUCGGAGGCGAGGUCGGAACUCGAGCCGGUAGCGUCGCGACGUCCAAG
This 192-nucleotide unclassified non-coding RNA is filed under the name uncultured Gyroporus. Its description in RNAcentral is "sequence contains ITS2". Lineage: Eukaryota; Fungi; Basidiomycota; Agaricomycetes; Boletales. The record is from RNAcentral.